RNAcentral lists this RNase P RNA (387 nucleotides) under Sphingomonas sp. Root1294. Its description in RNAcentral is "bacterial RNase P". It matches the Rfam family "Bacterial RNase P class A". Rfam says of the family: Ribonuclease P (RNase P) is a ubiquitous endoribonuclease, found in archaea, bacteria and eukarya as well as chloroplasts and mitochondria. Its best characterised activity is the generation of mature 5'-ends of tRNAs by cleaving the 5'-leader elements of precursor-tRNAs. Cellular RNase Ps are ribonucleoproteins. The record is from RNAcentral. RNAcentral also lists the same sequence under 2 other names. Lineage: Bacteria; Pseudomonadati; Pseudomonadota; Alphaproteobacteria; Sphingomonadales; Sphingomonadaceae.
CCAGAGGGCCGGGCGGUCGCCGCGCAGCGAUGCGGGGAGGAAAGUCCGGGCUCCAAGGAGUGACGGUGCCGGGUAACGCCCGGCGGGGGCGACCCCAGGGACAGUGCCACAGAAAGCAGACCGCCCGGCGGGUCCGGUUUCCGGGCUCCGGGCAAGGUGGAAAGGGUGCGGUAAGAGCGCACCGCGGACCCGGCAACGGGAACGGCAUGGUAAACCCCACCGGGAGCAAGAUCGAAUAGGGACGGCGCAUGGGCUACUCCGCCCGGUCGUCCGGGUUGAUUGCUGGAGGCCGGAUGCAAGUCCGGUCCUAGAGGAAUGAUCGCCCAUCCGGCCGUGGAGCAAUCCUGGGCCGGUGGACAGAACCCGGCUUACAGGCCCUCUGGUAUU